RNAcentral lists this ribosomal RNA (1287 nucleotides) under Salmonella enterica. RNAcentral describes it as "partial 23S ribosomal RNA". It matches the Rfam family "Bacterial large subunit ribosomal RNA", at positions 1189 to 2375 of the family's 2925-position model. The record is from RNAcentral. Lineage: Bacteria; Pseudomonadati; Pseudomonadota; Gammaproteobacteria; Enterobacterales; Enterobacteriaceae.
AUGCACCGAAGCUGCGGCAGCGAACGUAUCACUUAAAGCGAUUCAGCGGAUGACGAUUGACGGAGCGAAGCGACGUCAAAGCGUUUUACAACGUCGAGUCGGUUUAAGGAUACGUUCGUUGGGUAGGGGAGCGUUCUGUAAGCCUGCGAAGGUGGCCUGUGAGGGUUGCUGGAGGUAUCAGAAGUGCGAAUGCUGACAUAAGUAACGAUAAUGCGGGUGAAAAACCCGCACGCCGGAAGACCAAGGGUUCCUGUCCAACGUUAAUCGGGGCAGGGUGAGUCGACCCCUAAGGCGAGGCCGAAAGGCGUAGUCGAUGGGAAACAGGUUAAUAUUCCUGUACCUGGUGUUACUGCGAAGGGGGGACGGAGAAGGCUAUGUUGGCCGGGCGACGGUUGUCCCGGUUUAAGCGUGCAGGUGUGUGUUCCAGGAAAAUCCGGUUCACUUUAACACUGAGGCGUGACGACGAGGCACUACGGUGCUGAAGCAACAAAUGCCCUGCUUCCAGGAAAAGCCUCUAAGCCUCAGGUAACAUCAGAUCGUACCCGAAACCGACACAGGUGGUCAGGUAGAGAAUACCAAGGCGCUUGAGAGAACCCGGGUGAAGGAACUAGGCAAAAUGGUGCCGUAACUUCGGGAGAAGGCACGCUGACAUGUAGGUGAAGCGGUUUACCCGUGGAGCUGAAGUCAGUCGAAGAUACCAGCUGGCUGCAACUGUUUAUUAAAAACACAGCACUGUGCAAACACGAAAGUGGACGUAUACGGUGUGACGCCUGCCCGGUGCCGGAAGGUUAAUUGAUGGGGUCAGCGCAAGCGAAGCUCCUGAUCGAAGCCCCGGUAAACGGCGGCCGUAACUAUAACGGUCCUAAGGUAGCGAAAUUCCUUGUCGGGUAAGUUCCGACCUGCACGAAUGGCGUAAUGAUGGCCAGGCUGUCUCCACCCGGGACUCAGUGAAAUUGAACUCGCUGUGAAGAUGCAGUGUACCCGCGGCAAGACGGAAAGACCCCGUGAACCUUUACUAUAGCUUGACACUGAACACUGGUCCUUGAUGUGCAGGAUAGGUGGGAGGCUUUGAAGUGUGGACGCCAGUCUGCAUGGAGCCGUCCUUGAAAUACCACCCUUUAAUGGCUGGUGUUCUAACGUAGACCCGUGAACCGGGUUGCGGACAGUGUCUGGUGGGUAGUUUGACUGGGGCGGUCUCCUCCUAAAGCGUAACGGAGGAGCACGAAGGUUGGCUAAUCCUGGUCGGACAUCAGGAGGUUAGUGCAAUGGCAUAAGCCAGCUUGACUG